This 574-nucleotide long non-coding RNA is filed under the name Calidris pugnax (ruff). Its description in RNAcentral is "lncRNA (ENSCPUG00000000592.1)". The record is from RNAcentral. Lineage: Eukaryota; Metazoa; Chordata; Aves; Charadriiformes; Scolopacidae.
GGACGGUGUGCCAUCUACAGGACACUGCGCGGCCGGCCGCGCUGCGCGCCCGCGGGCCCUCUCCGCCGCCCCCCGGAGACCCCGCGCAGCGCAGCGCGGCACCCCCCUACCCCCCCACACCCCCCUCCGCGCUACCUGCGCGCAAGCGGCCGCCGGCGAGUAACUGCGAGGCGGGACAGAGGUGGGCGCGCAGCGCUGCGCACAGACGCGCGGUGUGGCCCGUCCCAGGCUCGUUGUGCUCUCCAGAAAGGAACGAACGCUUGAUUAUGCUCCAGCCUUUCACAUCAACAGCUUGCAUACCAACGAGGGGGUGACUGAGCAGCCUCAGCUCCCCUGGACCUCCCGUUCCAGACUGCCCUGGGCACUGGCACUCGCUGCUCAGUCAAUUCCUUGUGGCAUUUGGAUCCUGGCACAAAGCAGAGGAGCUGCCCCAGGCCGUGGCUGUGCUGGUGAUGCCAGGUGAUGCUGAUGGAUUCAUCAGGAAGGGAAGGGCUUGCUCAGGUGGGUGUGAUAAUCCCAGCGAGGAUUUAUUGGGUGGAUCUUGCACAUUGAGGGCUUUUGGGGGUUGUUCCAG